Molecule: long non-coding RNA, 2321 nt
Organism: Talpa occidentalis (Iberian mole)
Lineage: Eukaryota; Metazoa; Chordata; Mammalia; Eulipotyphla; Talpidae
Exons: 3
Source: RefSeq, a predicted model, not a curated record
GACCCCUCGGCCCGGAGAAAGCGCGCGCUCCCUCCCCUGGUGAUGCGAGUUUGGGGGCCGCGCCUGAACCCUAGAACCGCCUUGUAAAAUUCCCGGGAAGGUCCAGGCAGGUCUCUCUGGCAGUGCCAGCCUCCAGGUUAUGCAUCUGAAGACACAUCUUGCACACCACUGACUGACGUGUGCACAGUUGUUAUUUCCUGGUGUCGUUUUUGAAGGACUCUUGAGAGGCCAAACUCCCGCACGUGGGCUUCUGACUUUCCCCUAGUGACCCUCUGAGCCACUCCCUCUCUCCUGGCACUUUCCAGGGGACCUGGCCUCCAAAUAAGGUGACCGUCCCGGGCGUCUGGGAAGUGGCUUCUGUGCCUUCUGAAGAUGAGCUCCCCCCUGGCUCCCCAACACACGCACAAUGAUGCUGGUUCUAGCACAUCCACAGAGAGUGGACCGUUGAAACCCAAGAAUGUCACCACCAGAAAGAAUUUCUAAUUCUGGGAGGAGACCCCGGGAGAUCUGGCGAAACUCGAGAAUGGAAGAGCUGAGCGUGCAGGCAGAUGGCCGGAGAAGGUGUGGACUUUCCAGAAACCUGAACUCCCUCCCAGCUGCCCCUCCCUGUCCUGACUUGUAAAGGUUGCUUUGUGCUUUGACAGACAGGAGAGGUCUGGGUUGGAAAGGGCCUGUGUUUUAAUGCAGGAAUGCCUUACUGUGUCCAGUGUUCUAGUGGAGAGCUCUGCUGUUAUUUCUGGAAUCCCUGGGGCCAGACUGCAGACACAAGAGUGUUUAUGGCCGUGUGGGCUGGGGUGGAGCCGGACACCAAGAAAUCCCAGUGGAAAGAAUUUGCAUGUGGAAGGUCAGAUAAAAUGCUUUCUGUAUGACCAGUGAAUUUCAAGCUUACUGAAAUUAGAGACAAACCAGGCAAGAGGAGAAAUCAGUGGGGUGGAUGGACGAUGGAGACCCUUGAGGGGAGUUAUCAGGGGGCUGAACCCCUGUAGCAGUCUGGGAUGCGCUGCCAUCUCCCCAGGUGACCUUAGUCACAUCUAGGUUUUUUUGUUGUUUUGGGGAUUUUUUUUUUCUGCUUUCGUUACUCAGUCCUUAAAAUUUCUGCUUUCUUUCAAGCAUCGCAUAUUUACUGAGCAUAACUCAUAUAGCUCUGAUCAUCUGGGAUCACGGGUGAAAAGUGCUUUGAAUCGAUGGCACAGACUAAAAUGGUAAAGUGUUUUAGGAGAGUCCGGAAGAAUAGGUGUGUAGCUAAUGACCACUGCACGUGACAGGACUCAGGUAGGAGAAGAUAGAAGUUCUGGAGCCUGAAUUCCCCAGACACACAGAGAGAUGACACGUUUGCGUCAUUCUUUGUGUCUGUCAAGCACUUUUAAAUCUUUUGCAAGUACUAACACAUUUGUUCUGCUCCGUGACACUACAGAGUGCUUGCUUUCACGGCCAAGGUCUCCAUUUCAUAGAUAAGAAAAGUGAGGCACAGAAAUUAUGCGUCACACAGUGAGGGGCAGAGCCUGGACAGAGCAGAGUAGAGUCUGGGGCCAAAGCCCACCCGGAGACAUUCUUAGUGCUCUGAAGACUCUAGGAAAGAUCAGAUAACUUUGUCCUCCAGGAGUUUCAUCCUAGAAAAUAGGAACCAUGUGGAGGAGAGAAGUUGAGGGAACCAACUGCUAACAAAGAAAGCACUGAGAAGUUAUUACUCUGUUUAUUUGCUGGGUUUGUUAUUUUUUCUAAAUUACUUGUGAGAAGCUUCUGGGGGAGGAGCACACUGAAUUUGAAUCCAGAAAAGUCUAAAUCCCAGCCUUGCUAUUUAUUUGGGUUCGACCUUGGACAUCACGAUCCUUUUUGAACCUCAGUUUCCUGAUCUGAUAAAAGAGCCCCUACCUCAAAGAGUCCUCAGUGGAGGCCCCACAGGACAACGCCGGCCAGAUUACAUGCGUUCAGUAAAUACUGCCUCCUCCUUCUUCCCCUCUGCUGGGGUGGAGUCCAGGGGGAGGAGAGAGACCCCUAUCAGGCAGCCAGGAAACUCUGAGCCUAUGAAACUUUGGUGAAGGAUUAUUUCUUGAAUCGUGUUUUGGUUAGUGGGGUUAAUGACGGAAUUCAGCAACAUCUCAGCCCUGGAGCGAGAGAAAAUUCCCCAGCAAGUGUCCUUCCAACUUCAUCUGCAACAUUUGCUCUUCCUGGAUCCACAACAGCUUUCAAACUCGCCCUGACACAUCGGUCCUCCAGGGUCCCCAGCCCCCCAGCCCACCCUGUAAUUUUGGAAUUUGAAUUUGCUAGUUCUUUAUAAUUUCUCUCUCUCUCUCUCUCUCUCUCUCUCUCUUCCUCUCUCC